ACAUAUAUAAGUUGAGUAUAUGUCCACAAAUUUUGAACCGUUAAAAAUUAACGUAUGAUUUGUUAUGAAUUUUAAGAGGUGACUGAUUCAGAAAUUAUGUUUAUAAAUGAUUUUUGGUGAAAAAUUCUAGAAUGAGUGGGCCCCACUUUUGGUUGGUGAGAAAUGUGAUCAAAUUUUAUUUCAAAUGUGGUGGGUGGCAAUAGUAGCAGGUAAAGCCAUCAGGUAGUAGGUCAAGUCUGCUUCGGCGUGCUAGCAUUUUCUUAUAAAUAGGUGCUUAGGUUAGAAUUGAAAAUCACACCAGAAACAAGUUAUCUUUCUCUCUAUAUUAUCGAGUAUAUUUUUGUGAGUAUUUUGAUACUUUGAGAGUUACUAAUCAGUGCAAGUUUUCUUCAGCGUCAUAUUCGAUAUUCCAGUCAGGAUACUGCUCUUUUAUGGUAAGGGAUAUUGUCAUUAUUAUGGUAAGGGAUUGUAAGGGGUUGUAAGGAAUGUUAUUUUCUUCGUAAAUGAUAUUAUUUUCUUCAAUAUCAUUAUGCUGAAAUAUUGAUAUAAACUUUAUUGUGGAAUUUCUACCUUUUUGUGUCGGGGUUACUAUUCACGUAUACGGCACUAUUCAUGUAUAUGACACUAUUUACGUAUAUGACAUUAUUUAUGUAUACGGUACUAUGUACGAAUACAGAGUACUAUUCAUGAGUUAAUAUUCACGAGUUACUAUUCACGACAAAAUUGUUUUCUUU
Molecule: long non-coding RNA, 734 nt
Filed under: Panax ginseng (ginseng)
Lineage: Eukaryota; Viridiplantae; Streptophyta; Magnoliopsida; Apiales; Araliaceae
Description: long non-coding RNA (PGIN_LNC001721)
Source: RNAcentral